GAAAUGCGAGAAGUAGUGUGAAUUGCAGAAUUCAGUGAAUCAUCGAAUCUUUGAACGCACAUUGCGCCCUUUGGUAUUCCUUAGGGCAUGCCUGUUCGAGCGUCAUCUAAACCUUCAAGCCCUGCUUGGUGUUGGGUGCCUGUCCCGCCUCCGCGCGCGGACUCACCUCAAAUCCAUUGGCGGCCCCCGCGUCGGCCACGAGCGCAGCAGAAACGCGAACUCGUGAGCCCGUCCGGGCGGCUCCCAGAAGCUACACCCACCCAGUUUGACCUCGGAUCAGGUAGGGAUACCCGCUGAACUUAAGC
RNAcentral lists this unclassified non-coding RNA (305 nucleotides) under plant metagenome. Its description in RNAcentral is "partial contains 5.8S ribosomal RNA, internal transcribed spacer 2, and large subunit ribosomal RNA". The stretch from base 1 to 105 matches the Rfam family "5.8S ribosomal RNA", at positions 50 to 154 of the family's 154-position model. The record is from RNAcentral.